GAUGAAUUGGUCAUGUACUUCUGUCAGUUUGAUGAAGGUG
This 40-nucleotide small RNA is filed under the name Arabidopsis thaliana (thale cress). RNAcentral describes it as "ATSL071860". The record is from RNAcentral. Lineage: Eukaryota; Viridiplantae; Streptophyta; Magnoliopsida; Brassicales; Brassicaceae.